GAUGAACGCUGGCGGUAUGCUUAACACAUGCAAGUCGAACGGUCACUUCGGUGAUAGUGGCGGACGGGUGAGUAACGCGUGAGAAUCUGUCUUCAGGUCGGGGACAACAGUUAGAAAUGACUGCUAAUACCGGAUGUGCCGAAAGGUGAAAGAUUUAUUGCCUGAAAAAGAGCUCGCGUCAGAUUAGCUAGUAGGUGGUGUAGGAGACUACCUAGGCGACGAUCUGUAGCUGGUCUGAGAGGACGAUCAGCCACACUGGAACUGAGACACGGUCCAGACUCCUACGGGAGGCAGCAGUGGGGAAUUUUCCGCAAUGGGCGAAAGCCUGACGGAGCAAUACCGCGCGAGGGACGAAGGCUUUUUGGGUCGUAAACCUCUUUUAUUAGGGAAGAUUUCAGGACGGUACCUAAUGAAUAAGCAUCGGCUAACUCUGCGCCAGCAGCCGCGGUAAU
Molecule: ribosomal RNA, 452 nt
Filed under: uncultured cyanobacterium
Lineage: Bacteria; Bacillati; Cyanobacteriota
Description: bacterial SSU rRNA
Rfam family: Bacterial small subunit ribosomal RNA
Source: RNAcentral